UAUUAAAAUUUCUAAUUUGCUAAAUAAUUUUUUUAAAAUUUUAUUUAGCCAAUUAACCUGAAAAACACGGUGAGUUGUUCACCACCUUUAAAAAAGCAGUGAAUGAUUCAUUAUUUUCAUAUUAUUAUCUUUUUUAUAUAAAUUGUGAGAUUUUUUUUUGGGAUUAUUAAAUUUUUAUUUAUGGUUAAAAUUAUAUGGAUAGAUUGUUAGGGUAUUUUAGAAUUAUAUGUGAUUUGUUGGAAUGGUUGUUAAGAUUAUAAAUGGGAAUAAAAAGAAAUGGUAAAUUAUUCAUCAUUUUGUAAUUUAAGAAAAAAACGUUGAAUCAUUUGUUGCUUCUAAUGGAAAAGAAAAAUACAGUGAAUCAUUUACCAUCUUAUAAAUUUUAUUAAAGACAGUAAAUGAUUGAUCAUCUUUUAAUUAUUUUAUACCCCGACAAUGAGUUGGAUAAAAUAGGGUUAUUUGAACAAAUAAAUUUUUUACAAUGUUAUUUGGCCAAUUAUAAAUUUGUAAAGGGUCGAAAUAAAAAAAAAUUCGGCUGACAGUGAGAGAAGAUGUAAUAUAAAUUACCUAAAAAAUAUAUGACCGAGAAAAAAAAAAUUUUAUCCUCCUUAUUCUGUCAAAAUAAUAAAAUUUGAUAGAAAUAUUUUAUCCCGAUCAAAACGAAUUAUUCUAAUUUAUUCUGGAAUAAUCCGUUAAAAAUAGUUCUCCUCUACCCCUACAAUAGGAUUUAUUUCUUGGGUAUUUGAGGGGCAGGCUAAUCGAAGGUCUUUUUUCUCCGACAUCUCGUUCACUGUGCUACUUUACUCCAUCCCACCUAUCCUUUAUUCUUCGUCUUUAUCUCUUCCCCAAGAAAGCGUGUUUUCGUCCUCCUCAAAACUUUCUUUACUUCUGUGAGAUCACAGGUUGUUCUAUAUAUAUAAUAUAAUAGGGCUAAUACUCUUAACCCGGUUUAAGCAUUUUGGGUGGUCGGUAGGCCCAAGAGGUUAAGAGAGUUAAGCGUGUUAGAACGGAAGUAGUCCUAGGAUGGAUGACCCCCUGGGAAGUUGAGGCGUCACAUUUGGUAUCACGGGCAAUUACCAGCUGAAAGUGUGAGAUAAAUCUCCGUUGAGCUAGGAUUAUACAACGAGGAGAGCGAGGUUCUCAUGCUGUUGAUUGUUGUAAUUGUUGUGGAUAGAGCGCGGUUCCCCCACAAGGUCGGUUUAGGCUAGCGAGACGAGUCUCAUAUUGUCUGGUACUUGUGAGUCUGAGCCUGACAAGUACAUCAGGGCUUAAAGAAGGGAAGAAUGUAAGACCUCAAAUAGUCCUAAAUAUAUGAUAUAAUAUGGCUAAUACUCUUAGCUCAACUUAAGUAUUUUGGGUGAUGGCUAGGCACAAGAGGUUAAGAGAGUUAAGCGUGCUAGGACGGGAAUAGUCCUAGGAUGGAUG
Molecule: long non-coding RNA, 1425 nt
Filed under: Ananas comosus (pineapple)
Lineage: Eukaryota; Viridiplantae; Streptophyta; Magnoliopsida; Poales; Bromeliaceae
Description: long non-coding RNA (ACOM_LNC027128)
Source: RNAcentral